Molecule: non-coding RNA, 145 nt
Filed under: Burkholderia sp.
Lineage: Bacteria; Pseudomonadati; Pseudomonadota; Betaproteobacteria; Burkholderiales; Burkholderiaceae
Description: Glycine sequence
Rfam family: Glycine riboswitch aptamer
About the family: This family represents the bacterial glycine riboswitch.
Source: RNAcentral
UUUUCGCACUCUGGAGAGCGGCAGUAGCCAUCUGCAAACGCAGAUUCCGGCAGGCUGCCCACCGAAGGGGCGCGCGUUUCACCGCGACACGGCAAGGUGUUCACGGCAACGCAAUCUCUCAGGUAUCGAGGACAGAGGGGCCAUG